RNAcentral lists this unclassified non-coding RNA (379 nucleotides) under uncultured Gammaproteobacteria bacterium. RNAcentral's name for it is "contains 16S-23S intergenic spacer region". The record is from RNAcentral. Lineage: Bacteria; Pseudomonadati; Pseudomonadota; Gammaproteobacteria.
UCCGGUUUAACACCGGCAGUCUCACUAGAGUCCCCAACUUUACUUGAUGGCAACAAGUGACAAGGGUUGCGCUCGUUACGGGACUUAACCCAACAUCUCACAACACGAGCUGACGACAGCCAUGCAGCACCUGUCUCUCGGUUCCCGAAGGCACAGUCGAAUCUCUUCAACCUUCCGAGGAUGUCAAGGGUAGGUAAGGUUUUUCGCGUUGCAUCGAAUUAAACCACAUGCUCCACCGCUUGUGCGGGCCCCCGUCAAUUCCUUUGAGUUUUAACCUUGCGGCCGUACUCCCCAGGCGGAGAACUUAACGCGUUAGCUACGCCACUAAAUGAUUUAAUUCACCCAACAGCUAGUUCUCAUCGUUUACGGCGUGGACUAC